AUCCGGAUGACGAGUCUUAAAUAGGCCGAAAUACGCAUCCUGGAU
RNAcentral lists this non-coding RNA (45 nucleotides) under Trichobilharzia regenti. The record is from RNAcentral. Lineage: Eukaryota; Metazoa; Platyhelminthes; Trematoda; Strigeidida; Schistosomatidae.